This 263-nucleotide long non-coding RNA is filed under the name Mytilus galloprovincialis (Mediterranean mussel). Lineage: Eukaryota; Metazoa; Mollusca; Bivalvia; Mytilida; Mytilidae. The record is from RNAcentral.
UGGUGCUUGAAUAUGAAGAAAAGAGAAUAACAGGCAAAAUUAAUAAUAAAAAGUGAAAAAUGGUAUAGAAUAUUACAGAAUACAGAAAUGAAGAAACCACUUCCAGACCAGACCCUUUUAUAAGUUGCACAUUUUUUUUAUUUUUUUUUGCCUUUUAAAUCUUUCUGUUCGGACACCAUAUUGGUCCGACACCCCAAUAGCCUGACGCCCUAUUAGUCCGACGACCCAUUGGACCGACACACGAAUAUUAGUAAUCCGACACA